GCUAGGCACGGUGGCUCAUGCCUGUAAUUCCAGCUACUCAGGAGGCUGAGGCAGAAUUAGUGAGGUCCUAGGCAACAUCGCAAGAACCUGUCUCAA
RNAcentral lists this small RNA (96 nucleotides) under Marmota monax (woodchuck). Lineage: Eukaryota; Metazoa; Chordata; Mammalia; Rodentia; Sciuridae. The record is from RNAcentral.